Molecule: ribosomal RNA, 497 nt
Filed under: uncultured bacterium
Lineage: Bacteria
Description: partial 16S ribosomal RNA
Rfam family: Bacterial small subunit ribosomal RNA
Source: RNAcentral
GAUGAACGCUGGCGGCGUGCCUAAUACAUGCAAGUCGAGCGAACAGACGAGGAGCUUGCUCCUCUGACGUUAGCGGCGGACGGGUGAGUAACACGCGGAUAACCUACCUAUAAGACUGGGAUAACUUCGGGAAACCGGAGCUAAUACCGGAUAAUAUAUUGAACCGCAUGGUUCAAUAGUGAAAGACGGUUUUGCUGUCACUUAUAGAUGGAUCCGCGCCGCAUUAGCUAGUUGGUAAGGUAACGGCUUACCAAGGCGACGAUGCGUAGCCGACCUGAGAGGGUGAUCGGCCACACUGGAACUGAGACACGGUCCAGACUCCUACGGGAGGCAGCAGUAGGGAAUCUUCCGCAAAGGGCGAAAGCCUGACGGAGCAACGCCGCGUGAGUGAUGAAGGUCUUCGGAUCGUAAAACUCUGUUAUUAGGGAAGAACAAAUGUGUAAGUAACUAUGCACGUCUUGACGGUACCUAAUCAGAAAGCCACGGCUAACUACGUG